Molecule: ribosomal RNA, 495 nt
Filed under: uncultured bacterium
Lineage: Bacteria
Description: partial 16S ribosomal RNA
Rfam family: Bacterial small subunit ribosomal RNA
Source: RNAcentral
GACGAACGCUGGCGGCGUGCCUAAUACAUGCAAGUAGAACGCUGAAGGAGGAGCUUGCUUCUCUGGAUGAGUUGCGAACGGGUGAGUAACGCGUAGGUAACCUGCCUGGUAGCGGGGGAUAACUAUUGGAAACGAUAGCUAAUACCGCAUAAUAGUAGAUGUUGCAUGACAUUUGCUGAAAAGGUGCAGUUGCAUCACUACCAGAUGGACCUGCGCUGUAUUAGCUAGUUGGUGGGGUAAAGGCUCACCAAGGCGAGGAUACAGAGCCGCCCGGCGAGGGGGGUCAGCCGCCCUGGGAGGGUGACACGGCCCAGAGUCACUCGGGAGGCACCAGUAGGGCAUCGGCGGCAAUGGGCGGAAGACUGACCGAGCAGCGCCGCAUGAGUGAGCAAGGUUUUCGGAUCGUAAAUCACUGUUGUAAGGGAAGAACGAGUGUGAGAGUGGAAAGUACACUCUGUGACGGUAUCUGAUAAGAAAGCGACGGCUAACUACGUG